GUGACGAUAGCCUAGGAGAUACACCUGUACCCAUGCCGAACACAGAAGUUAAGCCCUAGAACGCCGGAAGUAGUUGGGGUUAGCCCCCUGUCGAGAUAGGGAAGUCGCUUAGC
RNAcentral lists this ribosomal RNA (113 nucleotides) under Streptococcus pneumoniae GA47283. The record is from RNAcentral. Lineage: Bacteria; Bacillati; Bacillota; Bacilli; Lactobacillales; Streptococcaceae.